Crotalus tigris (Tiger rattlesnake) is the source of this 4131-nucleotide long non-coding RNA. RefSeq lists it as uncharacterized. The transcript is spliced from 3 exons. Lineage: Eukaryota; Metazoa; Chordata; Lepidosauria; Squamata; Viperidae. The record is from RefSeq and is a predicted model, not a curated record.
AGUAGAAAUGGGCUCCAGGCGGGCGGGAGGCGAGCAGAAGAGUUUUCCUUUGGGGCCACAGCGGGAGAGGUUUGCGGGGGGGGGGGAGCUUCUUCCCCCGGGUGUCGGUUGCGGAUCCUGGGGUGGUGGGUGGGUAUGUGCCUUGUGAACCUGCGGCUCCUGUGGGAAAGAUAGUCGAGCGAUUAGUUCGUUUGUGUUUGCAGACCUCAUCCUUUGAUAUGUGCGUUAUGUCGGGGUAUUCGAGGAAGUUGGCUAAUUUUAAUGGGUUAACUUAGUUUCAGCUUGACUGUCAGUUAUCUAGUGGAGACACUGAUUCUCAGACCAUUUUGUUAAUAUUUUAUAGGAAGCUGGAAACAGUAUAAAGAAUAAAAUAAAUUUGGAUGUAAAACUUCUCACAAGGUCAAGAAACUCAAGAGGGGGACGGCCGCCGUGCAGCUGAGGCCCCGCCUCCAUUUCUACCUGUCCUGCAGGUAGGAGGCAUGUAAAAAGGGAAGGGACUGCAGACACCCCUGGAAAGGAACCACCUCCGGAUGUGCUCUUCUUGCACAGUUCCCCUCACCACGCACACAUGCACACACACACAGGGCAAUUAACCAGUGGAAUGGCCUUCAGACAUUGUGGGUGCUCCAUCACUGGGGGCUUUUAAGAAGAGACUGGACAGCCAUUUGUGUGAAAUGAAUCAUAAAUAUGUUGUACUCCCUCCUGCUACUUCCCUGCACAAAACAACAUCCCUGUGAAGUAGACCGGACAAGAGUGACUGGCUCAAAGUCACCCGUUUCCGAUGGUCAAGGAGGGAGGAUAGAAUUGGCAUCUCCUCAGGCAACAUUAAAAAAAAAAUCCCUUACAAACAACUUUAUCUUGACUACUCACGAACCAGUAUAUAGAACUACUUUUAUUUUCAAAGUUUUCAAAAUUAAAUCUUUUUAUACUUAAUAAAAAAAUACUUAAAUGUGUUUUAAAAUGUAAACGCAAGCUGAGAAUACUUUAAGCUGGGAAAUUUGUUUUGAACAGUUAAGAAAAAGAUUUAAGGUAUACUUUUCUUAAGCUUGGGAAGUAAUGAGAAUUAAACGCAAACACGUUCAACUACUUCUUUGGGAUGCAAGGCCUAGGCCCGAGGUGUUUUAUUUAAAAAAAAAAGUCCAGCGGUUAUUCCUGGCUAAGGAGAGCAGCUCCUUGUCUGAUCUCCCUCCGGGGGAUAUGACCCUUUUAAUGCUCUUUAGUUAAUGUAUUGGUGAUCUUUACUUAGGCAAAAUAAACAGUGUUGAGCUUUACAAAGAGGGGGCCGUGCUCCGCGCAUUGCCCUCUGACCUCAGGGUUACGGCCUUUGUUCCCUUCUCAAUGGGAAUUGCUCUCCAAGGGCCAUCACAAAAUGGAGAACUAAUUUGGGCCACGUGCUGGCCUGAAAGGGAAAAUGUAUCAGGAUAACUUCAUUGAGGCCUCCUCGGGUCUAACCUGGAGCUGCCAAGAAGCGAAAGGCAGGAGGGCACGCUGCGUGCUCCCUGCAAAUGUUGCGCUUCCCAGGGACGGCCAGAUCAAGUGGCCGAAAGCUCAGGAAUGAUACAAAUGGGAUUCACAAAGUCCAUGAUGUUUUGUCCUUUUUGAUAAAAUGCAACCUGAAAUUUCUGCAGAUUAUUAUUAUUUUAAAUAAUGGUCUUGAAUGUCAAUUUAUCAUACUCAGCCUUCCAGUUUAAACCCUUUGCUGGAAAUUCCAACAUCUUAUUAUUAAAAGGUAAUUGGGAUUAGAAUUUCCAAAAGUAUCAGACCAUGUAUUUUAGCUCCUGCAUACCCCAAAAGUGCCAAGAAGGAGGAGGAAAAAAAAAAAGAUCUUUGUAGCCAUGAGAAUUUUCUCUUCUGCUCAGAGCCCAGGCUGAAUUUAAAAAGAUCAACAUUUUUAAAUUCAGUAAAGAUUGGGCUACUAAACAGUUUGCCGUGUAGUUUUUCAUGGGCUUUCAGUUUGUAACAACAACAAUAAUAAUAAAUGAGAUUGAUGCUGAAUUCGCAGGAGUUGUAUGCCCUAAAUUAUAAAAAUUACUGAACUGUUGAAACUUCCAUUUAGUAAUUUUAUCUGAAAAAUAACAGGCAGCUCAAAAGUUGAGAAUUUAUUUAUGCCGAAAUAAACUUAUGCUCUAUGCCAAUAUUGUAGGAAGAGUGUGCUCUUCGCAAAAGAAAUGAAAUCUAUACUAUUUAAAAAACACACAAGUAGUUUAUCUUUUUAAAUUUUCUUUAUUUCACAGAAUCAGUUUAUAAAUAAAUUAAAGAGCAAUUUUACCUUCAUAGAGAAAAGAUUCCAAGAAAAACUCUUUGAAGCAAGAGAUUUUAGAAAAUGUCUGCUAUAAAAUAUAAUCUUACUCCACUAAAUUGUUUGAAGAAAAUAAUAGAAAGAAAAGCUCAGUUCAAAUUAAUGUAAUUUUUAAACAACCAAACUGUAUUCCUGACUUUUGCUGAAAUUAAUACAAAUGAAUGUUUAAGUAUAGUAACUGAUCUAAAGAUAAUCCUGAAGUUAUUGGUUUAAAAAGGCAAAAUGAGUUUUUAAUAUAGUUUAUAAGACAAUUAUGGUUUGCUGUCACAAAACAUAAAAUUCAUUGCCUUGUAUAUAUGUUUAUGUUUAUGUACAUAUACAAGUAUAUACACAUUUGUUUAUUUCUGAGGUAAUAUUUUUUUUAAAUAAACUGAAACUAUUACCUAAGUGGAUACGUACGUAGUAUUAGAACUUUCAUUUUCUAUUCCAGAGGAGUUUGUUUCAUAAAAAACAAUAUUUUAUUUUGGGAAACAUGCUAAAUGUUUUUGUGGAAUGGAUUUGUUAAAACUAAGAGGGACUGAAUAAGAAGAACAGUUUUUAAUGCAUUAUGAAAGGUCAGACUCAAAAUGGGGCUUUGCAGACUCUGAGCACAGCGAUUCAAUCCCUGGGCAGUCACUCAAAAGGCUUUUAAAGAAUCCCAGCCUUUUUAAUAUCAAUAUAGCCGUAGUUUGAACUACCUUAAUUCUAAAAAGUGAAUCGGACAAAAACAAUCACAAUUGCUCAUAAUCUGCAAUUAGAAAACCACGCAUAAUGGUUAUAACCAUUAUGCAAUAGCAUUUGUAGACAGCGGUGUCCAUGCAGGAGGUCAAAAAAGUCAAAAUGACAGCCGCAACAGUACAAUUAAAGCCCUGCCCCCUGUUUAGGUGGGUGCUUCAAUUGUGUGAUUAUGGCUACCGUAUUUUUUUUUUAAAAACUGUUUUCUGAACAUCACAUGUCUGUAAGAAAAAUGUGAUCUUUCAAGGGAAGGAAACCAACCAAAUUUCAAAUCCUAAUUGAGAUAGGAUUUUUGAGCUUUCAACCUGUUUACCAAAUUAUUUUUGCUUUUUACUAGAAUAAAAAAAGUUGAACAAUGUACAGCCAGAAUGUACAAGAAACACAGAUCCAUAUUAAGUUUGAAGAGUGCCAAGUUUCACAGAUGUUGGAGGAGGCAUUCCUGAACUAUGCACUUUUACAUUUUUAUUUUGUAAGAAAAACACAAUAAACCUUUCAUUCAGAGAUAGUAUAUAAGGAAAAUAUUGAUUCCAUACCUUGGAAAAGUGGAGUAGCUUCUGCCUUGAAUUAAUAAUACUUCAAUUCAAAACACAAACCCACUAUUUCUCUAUUAUUGAGAGGAGUUAAAUUUCCUACUUGGGUUGCACAGUUCUAUCUUUUAAGUCUUUUUUAAAAAAUUGCCAAAACAAAUGAAUCUGCUUUCAAAUUGCAUAGUGAUCUUUGGAUACUUUUUGCAUUACUGAUUGCACAAAUUCUAUUACUGCCAUUGUUUUGGUGAGUGCUCUUAAAGAAACAAGAACGUGAUGCAUAUUUUUAUAAAAAUAAUUCUGCAAUAAUGCCAAAGUUCUGUUAGACUGCUGGGAUAAAUAAGUAAUAAUCCGUUUUAAGACGUGGCUAUGUAAAUCGGCAAAUCUUGUCAGUUAACAUGGUUUUGGCUGAUUUCAAAGAUUUCAAAAGGCCUAAUUAAUCUUUGAAAGGAACACUACAAGGAAAUGCCAGCACUGUAGAGGAGAAAAAAGGAAUAAACCAGAAAAAAUGUGGUGGCAAACUGCUUUUAUAGAAUUUCCAAUAGCUGACCUCAUCUCAAAGGAAUCCCAACUUUAUUAGGGAUAAUUUAAAAA